Mus musculus (house mouse) is the source of this 1727-nucleotide RNA transcript. It is a transcript of the gene named Fc receptor-like A, with no coding region annotated. The record is from RefSeq and is marked validated. NCBI's taxonomy places the organism in Eukaryota, Metazoa, Chordata, Mammalia, Rodentia, Muridae. The transcript has 5 exons.
AAAUCAGUAUGUUGGGGUUGCAGGAGGUAUAAACCCAGUCACCAUGAAGCUGAGCUGCACGCUCACACAGUGGGCCCUUUAUGUCUGCCCUGCUGUGCUCCUGGCAACCCAGAUGUUACUGGGUAAGUAAAGUGUUUGAAUGCUGGUGUGGAGAUGAGAUACGCCAAAUCUUGAGGAAAUCCUCAAAGCAGCUGCCAGUUCAGAGACUCUGAAGUGUGAAGGACUUGUCAGCACUGAGCAAGGCAGCUGCCAGGCUGCUGCUGAGGAAGACGAGGGUGAUGAAGAUGAUGGCGAUAUGACCCAAUCCAGUGAAGCUGGCUUCCAGUUCAAGGGCUACACAUUCAGUAAACCCUUCCAUCUCAGCGUGUCCUAUGACUGGCUGAUCCUUCAAGGUCCAGCUACAUUGAUAUUUGAAGGAGACACAUUGGUUCUGCACUGCCGCGCCUGGCAAGACUGGCCACUGACUCAGGUUAUCUUCUACCGAGAGGGCUCCGCCUUGGGUCCUCCUGGACCUAAAAGUGAAUUCUCCAUCACCAUGGUGCAAAAGUCAGACGGUGGGCACUACCACUGCAGUGGCAUCUUCAGGAGCCCUGGUCCUGGGAGCCGAGAGGCUGCAUCCCCUGUGGCUAUCACUGUCCAAGAGUUGUUUGCAGCCCCAGUUCUCAAAGCCUUACCUUCUAGUGAGCCCCAAGAGGGAGGCUCAGUAACCCUGAGCUGUCAGACAAAGCUGGCCCUGCAGAGGUCAGCUUCCCGCCUCCUCUUCUCUUUCUACAAGGAUGGAAGGUCACUGAGUGUCAGAGGAGUCUCUUCAGAACUCAAGAUCCCCAAAGCCUCAGAAGAACACUCUGGCUCCUACUGGUGUGAGGCAGUGACUGAGGACAGACAGAUUUCGAAGCAGAGCCCACAACUGGAGAUCUGGGUACAGGCUCUUCAGAAACCAACCGCUUCGGAAACUCCUCCCACAGAAGCUCUCGGUCCUCUGCCCCCACCACCUGCUUCUUCUGCUGAGCAGCCAAGAUUCUCCUCCCCAGACCCCCACCUUCAUCACCAGAUGCAGCUUCUUCUCAAACAAAUACAAGAUGUAAGAGCUCUCCUCGGUCAUCUGGUCAUGGAGCUGAGGGACUUGUCUGUCUACCUGAAGCCUGGUACCACGAAGGUUGCUGACAAAUGAAAGUGAGCUAUUCACCUGCGCUAUAUUCAACCACCGCAAUAAUUCCAGCUCUUUCUGGACUAUGCAUAUACAGGCAUAGUUUUGCAAGCUGGUUUGAUACUUAGUUAAACUAAUGGAACUGUUCGAGUGUAAAUAAAUGCAUACAGGGUUAUACCCAGAAUUUCCCUAUAACUAUGUUUUCUUUAGCCAUGACAAAGUCAUUUUGCAUUCUAGACCAGGAAUUUCUUUCUGUUGCCUAGAACAGAAUUUAAAGAGAAAUAAAAACAAAAAAAGUGGAUUUUGUACUGCAAUUUCAACUGGAGGGGGGUAAUUUCUCUUCUCUAUAUUCCCAUGGAAACAUUUAGCAGUGUCUCCUAGACAGUUGGGUUUCACACAGGGUGAGAAGGAUGUCUGUGCUGGUAGAAUUUAAUGAGUUAAGGCAUUUACAAGCCAAGGAGGCUGAUAACCAUCCUAUAAUGCAUAGGACAACCCUUUUCCCCAAUAAAAAAUUUCCUGUCCCCAAAUCUUAUUAAUGUUAAAGUUAUGAAAUAUAAGACUAAUAAAAGCUAGGUGUCAA